Ictalurus punctatus (channel catfish) is the source of this 320-nucleotide long non-coding RNA. The record is from Ensembl. NCBI's taxonomy places the organism in Eukaryota, Metazoa, Chordata, Actinopteri, Siluriformes, Ictaluridae.
CGGUUAGCACGUUCGCCUCACACCUCCAGGGUCGGGGGUUCGAUUCCCGCCGCUGCCCUGUGUGUGCGGAGUUUGCGUGUUCUCCCCGUGCCGCGGGGGUUUCCUCCGGGUACUCCGGUUUCCUCCCCCAGUCCAAACACAUGCAUGGUAGGCUGAUUGGCGUGUCUAAAGUGUCUGUAGUGUAUGAAUGGGUGUGUGAGUGUGUAUGUGAGUGUGCCCUGUGAUGGAUUGGCACCCUGUCCAGGGUGUACCCCGCCUUGUGCCCCACGCUCCCUGGGAUAGGCUCCAGGUUUCCCCGUGACCCUGAAGGAAGGAUAAGC